UACGGGGGGGGCAAGCGUUGUUCGGAAUUACUGGGCGUAAAGGGCUCGUAGGCGGCCAACUAAGUCGGAUGUGAAAUCCCCAGGCUUAACCUGGGAACUGCAUCCAAUACUGGAUGGCUUGAAUCCGGGAGAGGGAUGCAGAAUUCCAGGUGUAGCGGUGAAAUGCGUAGAUAUCUGGAGGAAUACCGGUGGCGAAGGCGGCAUCCUGGACCGGCAUUGACGCUGAGGGAGCGAAAGCCAGGGGAGCAAACGGG
RNAcentral lists this ribosomal RNA (254 nucleotides) under uncultured bacterium. RNAcentral describes it as "partial 16S ribosomal RNA". It matches the Rfam family "Bacterial small subunit ribosomal RNA", at positions 524 to 776 of the family's 1533-position model. The record is from RNAcentral.